GACGAACGCUGGCGGCGUGCUUAACACAUGCAAGUCGAACGGAAAGGCCCUGCUUUUGUGGGGUGCUCGAGUGGCGAACGGGUGAGUAACACGUGAGUAACCUGCCCUUGACUUUGGGAUAACUUCAGGAAACUGGGGCUAAUACCGGAUAGGAGCUCCUGCUGCAUGGUGGGGGUUGGAAAGUUUCGGCGGUUGGGGAUGGACUCGCGGCUUAUCAGCUUGUUGGUGGGGUAGUGGCUUACCAAGGCUUUGACGGGUAGCCGGCCUGAGAGGGUGACCGGCCACAUUGGGCCUGAGGUACGGACCAGAAUCGUACGGGAGGCAGCAGUGGGGAAUAUUGCACAAUGGGCGGAAGCCUGAUGCAGCAACGCCGCGUGCGGGAUAACGGCUUUCGGGUUGUAAACCGCUUUCGCCUGUGACGAAGCGUGAGUGACGGUAAUGGGUAAAGAAGCACCGGCUAACUACGUG
This 468-nucleotide ribosomal RNA is filed under the name uncultured bacterium. RNAcentral's name for it is "partial 16S ribosomal RNA". It matches the Rfam family "Bacterial small subunit ribosomal RNA", at positions 28 to 507 of the family's 1533-position model. The record is from RNAcentral.